RNAcentral lists this non-coding RNA (405 nucleotides) under Yersinia bercovieri. The record is from RNAcentral. Lineage: Bacteria; Pseudomonadati; Pseudomonadota; Gammaproteobacteria; Enterobacterales; Yersiniaceae.
GGCUUUUCAGCGGCUUCACCAACAGGGUGUUAUUCUUCAGCGUCACUUCGCCACUGGCGUGCGUAAUGUGGUUCUCUUCCAAUGGAAUAUCUAGGUGUAAGCGCCCACUAACCUUACCCCCCACCUGUAACUCCUCCAGUGUUUCAGCGACCGAAUCAUUGAGCGGCGUCUUGGUAAAGUAGUCGUGAACAUCGCGCCCUUCGCCAGCCACCUCGGCAUCGACAUAGAGCUUUUCUUUCAGAUAAUCGGGAAUGAUGGCGCUGAUAUUGCUGCCAGUGACCUUACCUAACAUCGCAUGGGGGGCGUCCAUCCACAGACCUUCAUUGAGGAAAUUCAGGUCGAUGGCUAAAUUCUCUAAUGCAGGCCAAUCCGGUUGGAACUCGAAGGUGGCGUUACGCAGCGGCA